This 285-nucleotide long non-coding RNA is filed under the name Solanum tuberosum (potato). Its description in RNAcentral is "long non-coding RNA (STUB_LNC001624)". Lineage: Eukaryota; Viridiplantae; Streptophyta; Magnoliopsida; Solanales; Solanaceae. The record is from RNAcentral.
UCAAGUAAAGCCAUUAUACUCAUGUAAAGAUGUAUUAUCUUCCAAAUGUUGCAGUACACCUAAUAUGAAUCCUAAUAUAUUUGGAAUCUACAAUGAUGCUUGAAAAUAAAGCUUACAUCCAUAUUACUGUCUUUUACGAUAAGACCAUAGAAGAAUCACACAACAACACUCAAAGUACGAAUAACCGAUUGAAGUAAUAUCAUGUUUUUGACGUUUUUUUAAUAACUAUCACUUGUGAAAAAUAUACUCCAGUAUCAGAUCUUAAUGGAUGGAGAAGCAGGUGAU